Cottoperca gobio is the source of this 205-nucleotide long non-coding RNA. RefSeq lists it as uncharacterized. NCBI's taxonomy places the organism in Eukaryota, Metazoa, Chordata, Actinopteri, Perciformes, Bovichtidae. The record is from RefSeq and is a predicted model, not a curated record. The transcript is spliced from 3 exons.
UGGGUGUUGCAGACAGCCUACCAAAGGUAUUCAAAGAGGGAAAGACAACAAGCAGAAUGUAUCACUAUAUGACAUACCGCCAGCUGGUGAGAUUUUGUUGGGGAAUACUUGGUAAGAACCACAGAAUGACAUCAUGUGCCAAUCAAAAGAUCUGUGCACAACAGCAUCCCUCUUGUUUGGUUCUUCCCACCGACUGCUGAGUGGA